UUUUAACUGAUUUCAUUGUAUAUAAGACCCAUAACAGAAAAUAAGUUCAAUUAUGGAUUUUUUGUAAUUUCUUGGAUGAUAUAAAUUAUAGUUAUAGGGAAAUUUUCUUUUCUGCAAAAUCACAUGUAAAGGUAAAGAUUCUCGUCGGUGGUCUUAAAUCUGUUUUUAGGAUGAAAGAUUGAGGGGAAGAAUUAAAGCCUUUCAUGUUUGGAAGAAUAUUGGCUGAAAAAGGAUGAUAGUAAAGGUCGUAAGAUUCAAUAUCUUGAAAAAGAGAAGCAAAACCACUGUAAACAAAAUUUACCAACUAUAAGAAAAUCAUCAUUACCACAGGGGUCAUAUAUAACUCGAUAGGUUGAGUCGCGAGUUGUUGAAAACUUCCUAGUACUUAUGUUCAAUUCCUAUGAAUAAAAGAAUCAUCUUUAACUCUUAAUAAGAGAAAAUUCCACUUGAAAUUUUAUAAAUUAUUUGAAUCAUAUACUGCCAUUGAGUGGUAUAUAUUUCUAGUUUGUAUUCUUUGUCUUUGUUUCAGAUAAAUUCUGUCAAUUAUAGGUUUGGAUCUGUUUGAUACAUUUGGUCCAGACAGAGAGAGUGAUUUAAGAAGCUUUGAGCAAGUCUUUACAUAUCAUAUUAUAAUUUUGUUACAUUUUCAUAUUUUUAAAAAUCAGUUUAAUUUACUGUUCGUUGGUUUAAUUUUUGACUAGUAGAGUAUACCAGCUUCUGCAUGUCUUGGAGUUCAGCAGUUCCCGCAAAAGAAUGUCAGUGAUAGUGAGGAAUGAGGAAAAUCAAAUAUUGCUUCUAUGCAAGGGUGCAGACAGGUUUCAAUUUUUGUCCCAUGUUUUUUGAAUAAUGGAGUUGUUAGUAGUAAGUUGCGUGUACUGAUGUCAAGUUGUGUACUUCCCUGCAUGUAUUCAGUGUAAUGUUUGAAAGGCUCUCACAACAUGGAAGACAAUUUGAGGUUGAAACGAGGGAUCAUAUCAAAAGGUAUGCCGAGGCUGGUUUAAGAACCCUUGUAGUCACAUACCGUGAACUUGAUGAAGAAGAAUAUAAGUUAUGGGAUAAGGAGUUUUCAAAGGUCAAAACUUCUGUAACAGAAGACCGAGAUGCACUUGUGGAUGCCGCUGCUGAUAGGAUGGAAAGAGAUUUGAUGCUUCUUGGUGCUACUGCAGUUGAGGAUAGACUGCAAAAGGGGGUAAGUACAAACUUUUUAAUCUUACUAAUUCUAGUUAUGCAAGUCUUUGCAUUUAUGAUUUUUAGAAUUUGAAUAAAGGGUCGAAUUCUAUCUCACAAAAUCAAAUUGUAAAGUGAGAGUUGUCUAAGUUUUAUUUAAGCUAUAUUUCUAGUUGAUGUGAAAUUAAAGUGGACUAGGGAUGGCUCGAAUGAAGGCAACUUUCUAAAAUUUAUAUACCCAGUGAGAAUAAAAUAGAAGUUUCUGACAAAAAAUGAAUUUCAGCUUCAUUUAAUAGAGCUUAUUUGACAUGGAAAUACAGGUUCCCGAGUGUAUUGAAAAGCUUGCACGGGCAAAAAUCAAGUUAUGGGUAUUGACUGGAGACAAGAUGGAAACUGCUGUCAACAUAGGGUACAUUAGCAAGGCUUGUUCUAGAUUCUUUUUAUGAGGAGGCUGUGUAAAAUUUAAUUUAUUUUCCACUGUUUUCUUUGUACAGGUACGCUUGCAGUUUACUUAGAAAAGACAUGAAACAGAUAGUGAUCACUCUUGAUUCCUCAGAUAUCCUAUACUUGGAAAAACAAGGGGACAAGCAGGCUCUAGCAAAGGUACACGGCCUUAGAAUUUAUUUGGAAUUUAAUUUUCUGUCACUAUUGUAGAUCUUUGAUACGAAAAUUUCUUAGGCUUCUCUUGAAAGCAUUAAGAAGCAAAUUGGAGAAGGAAUCUCACAAAUUAACUCCGCAAAAGAGAGUUCUAAUGCAAAUAAAGGAAGUUCUUCUGGGUUUGGCUUGAUAAUCGAUGGGAAGUCCUUGGAUUAUUCUCUUAACAAGAAUUUGGAAAGGUCCUUCUUUGAGCUUGCCAUUAAUUGUGCUUCUGUCAUAUGUUGCCGAUCUUCACCCAAACAGAAGGCUCGUGUGAGUACUAUGUGUGUUCAGUUUGAAUUUCUGUCAUAUAAAUAAUAUACAUUCCUUGAGUAGUUGUGUAUAAUCAUACAUUGGGUUGUUAAAAUAUUAUAAUCAUGUCAGCCAAAAAAAUAUGCAGGUUACAAGGUUGGUAAAAUUGGGAACGGGAAAGACAACAUUAUCUAUUGGUGAUGGGGCAAAUGAUGUUGGCAUGCUUCAGGAGGCUGAUAUUGGAGUUGGUAUCAGUGGUGCUGAAGGGAUGCAGGUCUGAAGAUAUUGUUAUUAGCCUAUUCCAGUUAUUUCUAUAUUCAAAUUUAUGGCAAACGAUCUUAUAUGAGAUAAUAACUUCUUGAUGAUGUGCUAAAUAAGAGUUUUUUAAUCUUAACAUGUCUUUAUGUUCUUAACUCUUUUGUGCUGCUUAGCAUGUGGUCUUAUUAUGUCAUUGCAUUUGAAUUAUUUCAAAUUAUGGAGAAAUUCACUUGAGCAUAAUCAACCAAGCUGUCAGACCAACAUGCAUGCAACAUAAGUUAUCUGUAAUAGAGUUUUUAGAAAUGACUAUUUUUACGAAACUGUGUUCAUGUGCAAAACCCAAUGAAAUGUUUUAUGACAAUCAAACGCCACGUAGGUAGUAGGUAGUGCCUAAACUCAGAAAAUUCAGCAUUGUGAUGAAGUUAGUUUUAAUUUUCUGAAUGUACAUGCCAUUUGUUUUGUAUGAUAAGCUAAUGAUGAAUUGAGUUUAAAUGACAGGGUCCCAAUUUUUGAUAUUUGUGAAUAAAUGUUGUCUGCAGGCUGUAAUGGCAAGUGAUUUUGCAAUUGCUCAAUUCCGGUUUCUAGAGCGUCUUUUGUUGGUACAUGGUCAUUGGUGUUAUCGGCGUAUAUCAAUGAUGGUAAAACCAUCCAUCCAUCUAUUUCUCAAUCUUAAAGAUUUAGUGUUCACCUACUCAAUGCUUUCACAAUUCAACUUUAGUUUCCUCAAUGUUCUGAGGUUACAGAAAAGAGAGAAUAACAACAUUCAAGAAGUAAUCUAAAAGAUAGAAAAAAAACUUUAUUUGAUUAUUUGAAAACUAGUUUUACAAGAAGUUCUAGUUGCUUCUUAUAUAGAAGUCUGUUAACUUAAGAAAGAGACAGCUGUCCACAAAAAAAAAUUGCUGCUGAUAAGUUGUUGAAUUUUUUUAUGCAGAUAUGCUAUUUUUUCUAUAAAAACAUUGCAUUUGGAUUUACCCUUUUUUGGUUUGAGGCGUAUGCUUCUUUCUCUGGUCAAGCUGCUUACAAUGAUUGGUACAUGUCAUUUUACAAUGUCUUCUUCACUUCACUUCCAGUGAUCGCUCUAGGUGUUUUUGAUCAAGAUGUUUCUGCCAAACUUUGCCUAAAGGUACUAUAUAUAUUGCUUUUUUUAAAUUUGCUUUUAAAGGAUAUUUAAGAACCAGCAGAUAGCCAUAUAUGAUUCUUCUUCUUAGAAGACAAGAACUCUGCAUUUUUUUCUCUAGGGUGUUUAUAUUACCAGUUUAUCUUGGUCCUUUUUUGAUUAAUUAUGCUACUAUUUCACUAAACUAGCUUGUAUGUCAAUAGCUUUUUUAUUUUGUGAAAAAAAAUAACUAUUUACACUCAAUGUCAAUUGGUUUUAAGAUGAAAUCUAACUUCUCAAUAGAGCCUAUAUAGUAUCUCUGUGUACUACCUAGGCAUUCCUGGAAUGAAAACUUCACUUGCUACAAGUUGAUUUUAAGCAUUAUGGUGGCACUAUAGUAGUUGUAUAGAAACAUUGAUUUUAGGAUUAAAUCUAGCUAACACAUUAGACUGUAAAAUUCUAAUGCUAUUGUAUGGUUGACAUGUCUACUGAUUUCUCUUGUGGUUCUUGAUUUUAAAUAAUGAUGAGUUGAAAGCCAAGAUUCUGUGCUAACCAAUAAUCAUAUGGUCUGUUUUACAGUAUCCCUUUUUAUAUCUAGAGGGAGUAGAAGACACCCUAUUCAGCUGGCCCCGAAUUCUAGGGUGGAUGUUGAAUGGAGUCCUUAGUUCUUUAGUGAUAUUCUUCUUAACCACUAAUUCUGUGUUGAAUCAAGCCUUCAGAAGAGAUGGUAAGGUGGUUGAUUUUGAAAUACUUGGGGUCACAAUGUAUACAUGUGUGGUGUGGACUGUGAAUUGCCAAAUGGCAUUAUCCAUCAAUUACUUUACUUGGAUACAACAUUUUUUUAUAUGGGGCAGCAUAGCCUUCUGGUAUGUAUUUGUGUUGGUCUAUGGUUACUUAUCUCCAGGAAUAUCGACAACAUCUUACAAGGUUUUUGUGGAAGCAUGUGCUCCCAGUGGUCUCUAUUGGCUAGUAACCCUUUUGGUUGUUGUGUGUGUGCUGCUACCUUAUUUCUCCUAUAGGUCUUUCCAAAGUCGGUUUCUUCCAAUGUACCAUGAUAUUAUACAGAGAAAACAAGUAGAAGGGAUUGAAAUUGGCUUAUCUGAUGAUGAUUUACCUAAACAGGUCCAAGGAAAACUAAUACACCUCAGAGAGAGAUUGAAGCAAAGGGAGCUGUGAAAUGUAAAUGCUUCUAAACAUACAUUCUUAGACCCUUGAAAUUGUAUUUGAUUUCUUGCUGAGCUGGGAAGGAGAAUUGAAGUAGUGAGAAUUGUCAUUAGAUUUUAAUUUUUAUAUUUUUCCUUUUCUUUAUUGGGUUUCCAUUUGUUUAUAAAGUUAGAAGAGGAGAAUUUGUGUAGUAGUCACUUGAUGUAGAUUAGCUAUGUAAAAGCUUGAGUAUUUGUUGUACCGAAAACGGUCCAUGUAUUUGUUAAUGGAAGAAGCAAUAGAUGUUUUACAAUAUAUUUUAUACGUAAAUGCUCUUUAUUAUCUGAGGGAAGUUCCAAAAACAACUAGAAACAUGACUUCAAGUGGACUUAAAGUUCAUGAUACUUAAAAGAGAUAUUUGUUUUAUGUUUUCAUUGUAAAUAUCAUGAAAACCAUUAAUACCACUUAUUUAAAUUAACAAUCUUAGAGGGAGUAAGAUGACAUUCAAUUAGCAACUCAAUCUUGAUCUACUAAACAAGUAGAUUAAAAUAAUUCUUGGAAAUUGUUUUUGUAAGAUGGUGACUUCAACUCUCCAACUCUCAAUGUCUUUACAAUUUAAAGAUAUAUAUGAAAGGACGUAUACAGUUAUUCACUAAUACCGUAUCAUGAACAUUGUAUAUCAUAUCCUUAUCAUUUGGUUAAAGAUAGCACAUAAAAUGUUUUAGUUUUUUUUUUCCUUUUAUUUUUCACUGCUGAAUUGUCAUUCUCAGACAUCCAUUCAUGGAUUACAGCUGUGAACAUUUUUAUGAUCAGAAAGGCUCAACAAUUAUUCCUUCACUGGGUCCCACAACCCGCUUUCCAUUUCAGGAUUUCAUACUUUCAUUCAUCACAGCCGUUGAAUGAAUAUCUAACUGCUCACAACUUAUAUUCCUUAGUCAGCUAAUUACUGAUUUCAUCGGUACAGCUUCUCUUCACUGAAUUACAGUUCGUAAACUUCGAUUUCAAAUUACACACUUGCAUUCACCAUUUUCCAACUCCUACAAUGGCAGCAGAACUUGUUGGUGGUGCUCUUCUUUCCGCUUUUCUUCAGGUUGCAUUCGACAGGCUGGCUUCUCCUCAAUUCGUUGACUUCUUUCGUCGAAGAAAACUUGAUGAUAAGCUUCUCGGAAACUUGAACAUCAUGCUGCACUCCAUCAAUGCUCUCGCUCAUGAUGCAGAACAGAAGCAGUUCACAGAUCCACACGUUAAAGCAUGGCUUUUUUCUGUNNNNNNNNNNNNNNNNNNNNNNNNNNNNNNNNNNNNNNNNNNNNNNNNNNNNNNNNNNNNNNNNNCAAGUGGAAGCUCAAUCCGAACCUCAAACCUUUACUUACAAGGUAUCAAAUUUCUUCAACUCUACUUUCAAUUCCUUUAACAAGAAAAUUGAAUCAGAAAUGAAAGAAGUCCUAGAAAAACUAGAAUAUCUUGCAAAGCAAAAGGGUGCUCUUGGUUUGAAAGAGGAUACUUAUUCUGGUGAUAGAUCAGGUAUUAAAGUGUCACAGAAAUUGCCAUCAUCUUCUUUGGUGGUUGAAAGUAUUAUUUAUGGCAGAGAUGCUGACAAAGAAAUUAUCUUUAAUUGGCUCACAUCUGAGACCCACAAUCAAAACCUAUCCAUACUUUCCAUAGUGGGCAUGGGUGGAUUGGGUAAGACCACACUCGCCCAGCAUGUAUACAAUGACCAAAGAAUGGAGACUAAAUUUGAUAUAAGAGCUUGGGUGUGUGUUUCCGAUCAUUUUGAUGUUUUUACAGUGACAAAAACAAUUCUUGAGGCAAUUACUAAAUCUAAAGAUGAUAGCGGAGACCUAGAAAUGGUUCAUGGAAGAUUGAAAGGAAAAGUAUCUGGAAAGAAAUUUCUUCUUGUUUUGGAUGAUGUUUGGAACGAAAAGCUAGAAGAAUGGGAAGCUGUGCGAACUCCUCUUAGCUAUGGGGCUCCAGGAAGUAGAAUUCUUGUCACAACACGUAUUGAGAAAGUAGCUUCUAACAUGAGAUCUGAAGUGCAUCACCUAAAGCAAUUAGAAGAGAAUGAAUGCUGGAAAGUUUUUAACAAACAAGCUUUGAAAGAUGAUGAUCUUGAAUUAAAUGAUGAGAAAAAGGAGAUUGGUAGAAGGAUAGUUGAGAAGUGUAAAGGAUUACCUCUUGCUUUGAAAACAAUUGGAAGUCUUCUCCGCACAAAGUCAUCCAUUUUAGAUUGGAAGAGCGUAUUGGAAAGCCACAUAUGGGACUUAUCGAAAGAAGUUGAAAUUAUGCCUGCUUUGUUAUUGAGUUAUCAGCACCUUCCUUCUCACCUCAAGAGAUGCUUUGCUUACUGUGCGUUAUUUCCAAAAGAUCAUGAGUUUCUGAAGGAGGAAUUAAUUUUGUUUUGGAUGGGUGAAGGUUUUCUCUACCAUUCUCAACAGAACAAGAAUUUACUAGAAAUUGGUGAACAAUAUUUCGAUGAUUUAUUAACGAGGUCUUUCUUUUUUCCAUCAAACUUCGAAUUGCACUUCGUCAUGCAUGACCUUCUGAAUGAUUUGGCAAAAUAUGUUUGUGCAGACUUCUGUUUCAGGUUGAAAUUUGAUAAAGGAAAUUGUAUACCCAAAAUAACCCGUCAUUUUUCAUUUGCAUACGAUGAUAUAAGAUAUUUUGAUAGUUUUGGGAGUUUAACUGAUGCUAAAAGACUGCGUUCAUUUGUUCAGAUUACAAAUGACUGUCUAUUUCCAGGUCUUCCUGGUCCAUUCGAGAUUUUGAUUAGUGAAGUGUUCUCCAAGUUGAAGUUUUUACAUGUCUUAUCUUUGAAAGGGUAUUAUGGACUCAAAGAGGUCCCAGAUUCUGUAGGUAAUCUUAAACAUCUCCAUUUAUUGGACCUUUCUAGUACUAGGAUACAAAAACUACCUGACUCAGUAGGUUUGCUCUAUAACUUGCUAAUAUUGAGGUUGAAUGGUUGUUCAAAUUUGAAGGAAUUGCCUUCAAGUUUGCAUAAACUCACCAAAUUGCGUUGCCUAGAAUUUGAACGUACAGGGGUGACAAAGAUGCCAAUGCAUUUUGCAGAAUUGAAGAAUCUUCAUGUACUGAAUAUGUUUUGUGUCGGUAGAAACAGUGAGUUCAGUACUAAGCAGCUAGGAGGAAUCAACCUUCAUGGAAGGCUAUCAAUUAAUGAGCUGCAAAAUAUUGUGAAUCCUUCGGAUGCAUUAGAAGCAAAUUUGAAAAAUAAACACGUUGUGGAGCUAAAUUUAAUAUGGAAUUCGAAUCACAUCCCUAAUGAUCCAAGGAAAGAGAAGAAAGUGCUUGAGAAUCUACAACCUUCUAAUCAGUUGGAGCGUUUUUCAAUCAGGAGCUAUUGUGGUACACAAUUCCCAAGUUGGGUAUUUGAUAAUUCGUUAUCAAAUUUGGUAUCCUUAGAGUUAAAGGAUUGUAAAUAUUGCCUAUGUUUGCCUCCCCUUGGACUAUUGUCAUCUCUGAAGACCCUCGAGAUUACAGGACUUGAUGGAAUAGUGAGCAUUGGUGCUGAAUUUUAUGGGAGCAACUCUUCUUCAUUCAAGUGCUUGGAAAGAUUGCUAUUCUUCAAGAUGAAGGAAUGGGAAGAAUGGGAAUGUAAAACUACUUCUUUUCCACGUCUUGAACAACUUGUUAUCCAUGAUUGUCCCAAGUUGGAAGGUUUGUCAGAGCAACUUCUUCAUUUAAAGGACCUAUCUAUUGAGACAUGUGAUAGCCUCAUCAUCAGGGAACACAACGUAGACACAUCAACACUUGAAUGUUUGAAAACUUACUCAUGCCCACUUGUGAAUAUUCCCAUGACCCAUUAUGAUUUCCUUCAAGAUAUGACAAUUGUUGGUGGUUGUGACUCUCUUACAAUCUUUCAGCUAGAUUUAUUUCCAAUGCUCGGUUCACUUCAUCUGGGACGAUGCCAAAACCUACAAAGAAUUUCACAAGUGCAUGCUCAUAAUAAUCUCAAGGAAAUGUCAAUCUAUGAAUGUCCUCGAUUUGAAUCAUUUCCCAAUGAAGGAUUAUCUGCACCAUUGGUACAAAUAAUUGACAUUAGGCAAGUGGAGAAUUUAAUGUUGUUGCCAAAACGCAUGCAAAUCCUGCUUUCAUCUCUUACUGAACUGAAGAUAAUUGAUUGUCCAAAAGUGGAGAAGUUUCCAGACGAAGGUUUGCCAUCAAAGGUAAAAGACAUGUCUCUUUCAAGUUUAAAACUUAUCGCCUCUCUGCGAGAGAACUUGGAUGUCAACACAUGUCUUGAAAGCUUAUCUAUUGAAUCUCUUGAUGUGGAGUCUUUUCCUGACAAUGUUUUGCUGCCACCUUCUCUUACCUCUUUAAGAAUCAUUCAUUGCCAAAAUCUCAAAAAGCUAGACUACAAGCUUCUCUAUCACCUCUCCUCUCUCGAACUUGGUGAUUGUCCUAACCUCCAAUGCUUACCUGAGGAGGGUUUGCCCAAAUCCAUCUCUUAUCUUGACAUUUGGCGCUGUCCAUUGCUCGAGCAGCGUUGUCAGAAGCCAGAAGGCAAAGAUUGGAUAAAGAUUGCUCACAUUGAAAAUCUAAGUGUUGGGUAAUAAGAUGGAAAAAAAAGUUCAAAAUUAGAUGUUCAUCUGCUAACAGCUUCCUCUCACACCUAAUUGCAUGGCUUCGACAAACUCUUUCUUGUUUUUAGUUGUUUUUUCUAUUAAAGUGGAAUCAGAUCUCUUAUUUUGGAAUUUUAUUUAUUUGUUUGAAUAAUGAAAAAAAAUAAAAGAUGGAUUUUUUAUAUAUUACAAAUCAUUAUUCGUGGAAUGAUAAGAUGAAAGACCGGUUGGUUUGAAGAAAUUGCAUAGUUGGUCUUUUAUUUAUAAAUUCAUAUAUAGAAAAUAUUUAUUUAGAGUCAAGAAUUUUUUUUUCAUUUUACUAAAUUCGUAAACUUAAACUUAUUUAUAUCUUUUACUUUUAAAUUUUUAUUCAUUCUUGUUUUUUUAUCUUCUAACUCCUUUUCACGUUGCAAGUGAUUAUACACAUUAAGGAUCAUUAGUUGUUUCUUUAAAAUAUAAAUUGGUUUUAAAAAAACUUCUAUAAGAAUAAGACACAAAAGAUUAAAGAAUUUUAUAUGAUUAACUCGUGAAGUAUAACGACAUAAUUAACUCAUAUUGGACUUGGUCACUCUACAGAACUUUUGGAAUGAUUUGUAUACAUUACAUGAAUCAUAUAAGAAGCUUUUAGCCUACAUGUACUUCAAUAUUUUUUCUCAAUCAUCAUGUCCUUUUAUUACAACUUUUUCUUAAUUUAUGGUAUAGUGUAAAAAUAAUAUCAAUAUUUAUUUAAAAAUAAAAUUUUAUUUCAUUCUUUAAUAAAUAAUUUAGUGACCUUUGUUUAAUGUUGUAAACGUUAAUAUUACUAACAUUUUUACAAUAAAGUAACAUUUCAAUUAUGUUACUUUUAUAAAAUAAACAUUACUAAAGACUUCUAAUGUUGUUUUUAUUAAAAAAAUUUACUAAAUUAUAAGAGCCAUAAAAGAAAAGGUUCAAUUAUGGAUUUUCUGCAAUUUCUUUGCAUGAUAAAAAUUAUAAGAAGUUUUCCUUUCUGCAAAAUCACAUGUAAAGGUAAAGAUUCUCAGAAUGUGUAUGUGCUUUUGUUUUUAGGAUGAAAGAUUGAGGGGAAGAAUUAAAGCCUUUUAUGUUUGGAAGAAUAUUGACCGAAAAAGGAUAAUAGUUAAGGUAAACAAAAUAUACCAACUAUGUAAGAGAAUCAUGUUUACCACAGGGGUCAUCCAACUCAAUUAGUUGAGUAGUAUAUUCAAUUCCUCUGAAUAAAAGAAUCAUGUUUAACUCUUAAUAAGAGAAAAUUCUACAUUAAAAACUGAAACUAGUAUGAUGCAAGGCUGAAAACUGAAUGCACAUGAUCUUGUUUUGGCUUUUUCAAUUCAGAAUGAAGAAGAUGAAUUNAAUGCAUUCUAAUGAAAAUGAAAUUGGGCAGAAACAGGUUGAAUGUCUGUGGAUUCAGCAGGUUCUGAGUAAGCCUUCAAUUAGCAGCAACAAUGAUUGCUCAAACUACUCAACUCCAAUUCUAUGCACCACUGUUGUUGUUGUCAAUCUCUUUAUUCAACUCCAAAUAUUCUUCUCAGUUGCAUCUCUUUUUUUUUUUUUUUUUCUUUCUUUCUUUCUGAGAAUCCUAAAAUCAAACAAUAUAAAAUUCUAACAAAGAAUGCCAAAUUAACAAAGAUUUAGAAAAACUACUAUUCAUUGAAGGAAAACCAAAUAUUAAUCUAGAGCAAAUAUGAACAAAUAUGAAGGAAAACCUGGUUUAUAUUGGAUGGAACCCGACACAGAACUGUGUAAAUAUUGGAAAUCCAAGUAUGAGUCUAAGUUCCACAUUGGAUAGAAAAGAGAAAGUAUAACACUAUAUACUCAUUAAUCCAUUGUCUUAAGGUUUUGGAUAAAGAAUGAUGUUAAUUCCUUAUAUGAUUGAGUUCAGAUCUUGCACUAGAU
This 11019-nucleotide long non-coding RNA is filed under the name Vigna radiata. RNAcentral's name for it is "long non-coding RNA (VRAD_LNC000021)". The record is from RNAcentral. Lineage: Eukaryota; Viridiplantae; Streptophyta; Magnoliopsida; Fabales; Fabaceae.